UACGUAGGGUCCGAGCGUUGUCCGGAAUUACUGGGCGUAAAGAGCUCGUAGGUGGUUUGUCGCGUUGUUCGUGAAAACUCACAACUCAAUUGCGGGCGUGCGGGCGAUACGGGCAGACUUGAGUACUGCAGGGGAGACUGGAAUUCCUGGUGUAGCGGUGGAAUGCGCAGAUAUCAGGAGGAACACCGGUGGCGAAGGCGGGUCUCUGGGCAGUAACUGACGCUGAGGAGCGAAAGCGUGGGGAGCGAACAGG
RNAcentral lists this ribosomal RNA (253 nucleotides) under uncultured bacterium. RNAcentral's name for it is "partial 16S ribosomal RNA". It matches the Rfam family "Bacterial small subunit ribosomal RNA", at positions 524 to 776 of the family's 1533-position model. The record is from RNAcentral.